Molecule: long non-coding RNA, 195 nt
Organism: Portunus trituberculatus (swimming crab)
Lineage: Eukaryota; Metazoa; Arthropoda; Malacostraca; Decapoda; Portunidae
Exons: 2
Source: RefSeq, a predicted model, not a curated record
GGAACAAGGAAGAGGUGGAGGAAGAUGAGAAGAGAAGAAGAAAAGAGAAAAAAAAAAAAGGAAAGUCAAGCUAAGAGUCCCUGAAUGCUGCCAAGGAGACACACUGCUGCUGGAACACUGCACCUCCAAGCCAAGCCACAAUGCAACACAAGCCUUCUACAACACCUGCAGCCAUCAGCAACACCCAGAGUACAA